RNAcentral lists this long non-coding RNA (437 nucleotides) under Medicago truncatula (barrel medic). RNAcentral's name for it is "lncRNA gene19182". Lineage: Eukaryota; Viridiplantae; Streptophyta; Magnoliopsida; Fabales; Fabaceae. The record is from RNAcentral.
UUACUCAUCGGUAUCUUCUUAUAUAAAAUCAAGAAGGUUCAAGUUUAUGAUCCUCUGGAAGCUUAUCCUCUAAAUAAUAUGUUAUUUAUCCUCUAAUAAGGUUUUCCCUCCUAACCUGUCAAGUUCAAAUAUAAGGAUAGCUGGCAUAAAGUAUACGAGGUACGGAGUAGCAAGCUAUAUAUGCAAUGUUGCGUAAUAUAAAAAAAAUGUACAUGAUAAGAACAAAGAUCGGAUACAUGCUAAGGUAGUAGCACAAAUCUUUUCGAUGUCUAUGUCUCAGAUAUUCAUGAAAGGCACAACACUACACUGCAAUGACUACAACAUCAAGAAAAUAUGUGUUGCAAAUUUCAAAUUCUAGUAUUCUACUUGCCUAUAUAAGCAACUUUUCAACACUCAACAAUGUAGAACAAGAAAGAUCAUCUUAAAUAUUUAUAGGU